UGACCCGACCCGUAAUCUGCUAGUGACAAAAAGAGAUGCAAAAUACCCACAAGAUUACACCCAAUACUCUACUUCACCUAAUUAUCUAUUAACCCCUUCAUAAAAAUCCAAUCUUUUUUCACUUCAACCAUGUAAUUUCAACUCUCAAGAUUCUUAUUACUAUUAUAUUUCUUUAUUUCAUUUGUUGAUGUUGAUCUGCUUUCUUCUUACUGUUGUUUGCUAAUGGCUUCCAUUCUUUCAUUAAUUGGAAGAAAACAGAGUGUGGGUCUCCGAUUUUGGCCCCUUUAGGUCAAGAUUGUGUAUCUUUGUUGUACAAUUUUGUAUGUAUAUUAAAAGAUAGUAAAAGGGGUGUAAUUAUAUAUAAUUAUAUAUAUAUAUAUAUAAAAUUGUGUAAAAACCCAUCUGAUAAUUUGUGGGUUUGGUAUGGGUGGGUGUUUCCCAUGCUUUGGGUCAUCAAAGAAAGAUGGAAAUGGUGUGAAAGAAGUGGUGAAGAAUGAUAGUGUGAAAGAGGGUUCAGCUGCUCAUCAAUCUCAUCAUGUUAGUAGGGUUAGUUCAGGAAAAUCGAAAUCUCGUGUUAGUUUGGAUCCUAAGAAAGACCAGACGGUUGCAAAAGAUGGACAGCCUGCAAACAUUGCAGCGCAGACGUUUACGUUUCGUGAGCUUGCUGCUGCAACCAAUAAUUUUAGGCCUGAAUCUUUGCUAGGAGAAGGUGGUUUUGGGCGCGUCUACAAAGGUCGUUUGGAAAGCACGGGACAGGUAGUUGCAGUUAAGCAACUUGAUAGAAACGGUCUUCAAGGGAAUAGAGAGUUUUUGGUGGAGGUUUUGAUGCUAAGCCUCUUACAUCACCCGAAUCUAGUCAAUUUAAUAGGAUACUGUGCAGAUGGAGACCAACGCCUUCUUGUUUACGAGUUUAUGCCUUUGGGAUCACUCGAGGACCAUUUACACGAUCUUGCACCAGAUAAAGAACCGUUGGACUGGAACACAAGGAUGAAAAUAGCCGCAGGUGCAGCCAAGGGUUUGGAAUAUUUACACGACAAAGCAAACCCUCCGGUCAUAUACCGAGACUUAAAAUCAUCCAACAUUCUUCUCGGCGAAGGAUACCACCCUAAACUCUCUGAUUUCGGGCUUGCAAAACUGGGACCCGUAGGUGAUAAAACACACGUUUCCACCAGAGUUAUGGGUACAUACGGCUACUGUGCUCCUGAAUACGCCAUGACCGGUCAACUCACUUUGAAGUCCGAUGUCUACAGUUUUGGUGUCGUUUUUCUUGAACUUAUUACGGGACGCAAAGCCAUUGAUAAUACCCGUGCUCCUGGAGAACAUAAUCUUGUUGCUUGGGCCCGGCCACUUUUCAAAGACAGGCGAAAAUUCCCGAAAAUGGCCGAUCCAUUAUUGCAAGGUCGUUAUCCAGUACGAGGGCUUUACCAAGCACUUGCGGUAGCAGCAAUGUGUUUACAAGAACAAGCCGCCACACGGCCUCUAAUAGGUGACGUCGUGACCGCUUUAACCUACUUAGCCUCACAACCCUACGACCCGGAAGCAGCCCGAGCCGAGCGAGCCAGCCGAGGCAGCGGGUCAGGCACGCCCAGGAACCGAGCAGACCGCAGAAACCCUAGCGACGGUGGUCUCGACAGCCUCGAAGACUCCAUGCGCGAGCCACGCCCACACGGGUCCCCUUCCACUUACAAAAACUCCCCCGAUUACCAAAGAAUAAACACUCGUUCUGAUGUCGACGGUGAAAGUAGUAAUGCAGGUGGCGGGUCGGGUCGGAAGUGGGGGUUGGUGGAUGACGCGGAUUCUCAAAAGAAUAGUCCGGCGAAUACGAGUCGGGCUAGGAACCGGGACCUUGAUCGGGAACGGGCUGUGGCGGAAGCGAAAGUUUGGGGGGAGAAUUGGAGAGACAGAAAGAGGACGAACACGAUGGGUGGUGGUAGUUUCGAUGCUGCUACAAACGUGUGAUAUGUGUUGUGUUUCAUGAGCGAAUAAGAGUCGUUUUUGAUGAUGGUUCUGGUAUGUUGGUUUUUUUCGGCGGAUAAAGAAGAGGGGGAAGUGCAGUUGAGUUGAGUUGAGAGGGGUGAUGGAUGGAUGAUGACUUUUGUAAAGAAAUUGAUAUUUGGUUUGACUUGGUAUUGAAUUGAACUCAUGUAUUUAAACAUAUGCCUGUUGUAUCUUCUGCUGAUGAUGUAGCUAAUAUUCUUCUUGUGUCAUGUGAUGGGCUCAUGUGUUUGUUUUAUAUAGAAAGGAUAUUAUUUUUUGACACAAAAUGUAAUGUAUGUUUAGGUCUCUUUAUGUUCCUAAUUUAUGUAUUCCUUGCUAACAUAUAAAGAAUAAUUUUCGCUGGUUGAA
Molecule: RNA transcript, 2346 nt
Organism: Helianthus annuus (common sunflower)
Lineage: Eukaryota; Viridiplantae; Streptophyta; Magnoliopsida; Asterales; Asteraceae
Gene name: serine/threonine-protein kinase PBL27
Exons: 6
Source: RefSeq, a predicted model, not a curated record